ACAUAGGGGCCGGGAGGACAACCCGGGGAACUGAAACAUCUAAGUACCCGGAGGAGAGGAAAUCAAUCUCGAGACUCCCCGAGUAGCGGCGAGCGAAAGGGGACCGAUGGCCAAACCGUCGAGCGGGCAUACCCGGCAGGGGUUCCGCCGACGGGGUUGCAGGGCCGCGCAUCCGGGGGCUGCCGCCCCCGGGCGCAGGUCCGGCUGGGGAGCGGAACGGCAUGGGAGGGCCGGCCGCAGCGGGUGACAGCCCCGUACGCGAACCCAGACCGGACGGCGCGACGCGGUCCCUGAGUAGGGCCGGGCACGUGAAACCCGGUCCGAACCUGGGUGGACCACCAUCCAAGCCUGAGUACUACCCUGUGACCGAUAGCGCACCAGUACCGUGAGGGAAAGGUGAAAAGCACCCCGGGAGGGGAGUGAAACAGUACCUGAAACCGUGCGCCCACGAGCAGUCGGAGCACCUUUAUGGUGUGACGGCGUGCCUUUUGUAGAAUGAGCCAGCGAGUCGCUGGCGCGGGGCGAGGUUAACCGAAAGGGAGCCGGAGCGAAAGCGAGCCUUAACAGGGCGACUUGAGUCCCGCGCCGCGGACGCGAAGCCGGGUGAGCUAUCCGUGGGCAGGCUGAAGCGGGGGUAAGACCCCGUGGAGGGCCGAACGCACGUCGGUUGAAAACGGCGGCGAUGACCUGCGGAUAGGGGUGAAAGGCCAAUCAAACCCGGAGAUAUCUCGUUCUCCCCGAAAUAGCUUUAGGGCUAGCGUCGCGCGUUCACCGCCGGAGGUAGAGCACCGGAUGGACGAGGGGGCUUCGCCGCCUACCGAAUCCAACCGAACUCCGAAUGCCGGCGGCCCAGAGCGCGGCAGUCAGAGCAUGUGGGCUAAGCUGUGUGCUCGAGAGGGAAACAGCCCGGACCGCCCGCUAAGGUCCCCAAGUUCCAGCCGAGUGGCAAAGGAUGUGCGUCCGCCCAGACAACCAGGAUGUUGGCUUAGAAGCAGCCAUCCAUUCAAAGAGUGCGUAACAGCUCACUGGUCGAGUGGACAUGCGCCGACAAUACACGGGGCUAAGCUGGACACCGAAGCGGCGGGAUUUUAAUUCAUUAGAAUCGGUAGGGGAGCUUCCCAUGGGCGGAGAAGCCGGAGGGCGACCGACGGUGGAGCGCAUGGGAGUGAGAAUGCUGGCAUGAGUAGCGAGAGACGAGAGAGUAACUCGUCCGCCGUGAACCCGAGGUUUCCUGGGCAAGGCUAAUCCUCCCAGGGUCAGUCGGGGGCUAAGGCGAGGCCGGGAGGCGUAGCCGACGCGCAGCAGGCAGACAUUCCUGCACCGCGCACGCGGCGCUACGACCGACGGGGCGACGGAUGGGGGUGGCUCGGCGGGGUUCUGGACGUCCCCGUGAUGGAGCGCGGCCCGCGGACCAGGGAAAUCCGGUCCGCACGAGGGCGAGGCUCCGGACGAAGCGAUCAAGCGAAGCGAGUGAGCCCGAGGUCCCUAGAAAAACCCCUAGGCAGGCGCGUGCGCGCCCGUACCGCAAACCGACACAGGUGGGUGGGUAGAACAUACCGAGGCGAUCGGGUCAACCAUGGUCAAGGAACUCGGCACAAUGGCCCCGUAACUUCGGGAGAAGGGGUGCCCGCGCGUACGUGAACCGGCUCGCCCGGGGAGCGGAGGCGGGCCGCAGUGGAGAGGCCCAAGCGACUGUUUACCAAAAACACAGGACUCUGCAGAAGCCGCAAGGCGACGUAUAGGGUCUGACGCCUGCCCGGUGCCGGAAGGUCACGCGGAGGAGUUAGCGCAUCGCGCGAAGCCCCGAAGCCAAGCCCCGGUAAACGGCGGCCGUAACUAUAACGGUCCUAAGGUAGCGAAAUUCCUUGUCGGGUAAGUUCCGACCUGC
RNAcentral lists this ribosomal RNA (1888 nucleotides) under human gut metagenome. RNAcentral describes it as "bacterial LSU rRNA". It matches the Rfam family "Bacterial large subunit ribosomal RNA", at positions 164 to 1991 of the family's 2925-position model. The record is from RNAcentral.